UGGGGAAUAUUGGACAAUGGGCGGAAGCCUGAUCCAGCCAUGCCGCGUGUGUGAAGAAGGCCUUUUGGUUGUAAAGCACUUUAAGCGAGGAGGAGGCUACUUGGAUUAAUACUCUAGGAUAGUGGACGUUACUCGCAGAAUAAGCACCGGCUAACUCUGUGCCAUCAGCCGCGGUAAUACAGAGGGUGCGAGCGUUAAUCGGAUUUACUGGGCGUAAAGCGUGCGUAGGCGGCUUCUUAAGUCGGAUGUGAAAUCCCUGAGCUUAACUUAGGAAUUGCAUUCGAUACUGGGAAGCUAGAGUAUGGGAGAGGAUGGUAGAAUUCCAGGUGUAGCGGUGAAAUGCGUAGAGAUCUGGAGGAAUACCGAUGGCGAAGGCAGCCAUCUGGCCUAAUACUGACGAUGAGGUACGAAAGCAUGGGGAGCAAACAGG
Molecule: ribosomal RNA, 430 nt
Filed under: Acidobacteriota bacterium
Lineage: Bacteria; Pseudomonadati; Acidobacteriota
Description: Acidobacteria bacterium partial 16S ribosomal RNA
Rfam family: Bacterial small subunit ribosomal RNA
Source: RNAcentral